This 708-nucleotide ribosomal RNA is filed under the name uncultured Neocallimastigales. RNAcentral's name for it is "partial large subunit ribosomal RNA". The record is from RNAcentral. Lineage: Eukaryota; Fungi; Neocallimastigomycota; Neocallimastigomycetes; Neocallimastigales.
UACGACUACAUAUCAGGCAUAUCAAUAAGCGGAGGAAAAGGGUAUGCUGAAAGGUGUUGUCACCUCAGUUACCUUCCUUGGCGUUCAUUACGAGAUCAUCGUGGACAUCAACGGUUUCAAGUGGAUGAUACAGACCACGGACUUUGUGGAUGUGGACGAGCAUAUCGGCCUUACUAUCGAGCCCGACGCCAUACACGUUAUGAAAAAGUCCGAAUACUCCGGUAUGUUCGGUGACUAUUCCUCCUUCUCCAACGAGCUUGACGAGCUGAGUGAUGCGGAAAGUGAGAGCGAAGAGUGAAAAAUAAAAGCCCUCAGCGGCACAUGAGCCUUGUUGACAGGCUCUGUCCCGCACCUUACUCCUUCUGGGCGGUGUUUUUCAUAGUUGUGCCGCUCAUCUUCGUGGCAUACUAUGCUUUCACCGACUCUGAUUUCAACUUCACCUUUGAAAAUAUCAGCCGCUUUUUCACCGCCACCUCUCAGGUGGACGGAGAGGAAGUGCGCACCUACCUUGUCAUUUUCGGCCGUUCGCUGAAGCUGGCAGUGAUAUCCACGCUCAUCUGCCUUCUGAUGGGCUACCCCAUGGCCUAUAUCAUCUCCCGCUCCAAGGCCAAGACCCAGAGCAUCCUCAUCACGCUGAUAAUGAUCCCCAUGUGGAUGAACUUCCUUAUCCGUACCUACGCUUAGGAUGUUGAGUAGCGACAUACGCAC